GGGGCCUUAGCUCAGCUGGGAGAGCGCAACACUGGCAGUGUUGAGGUCAGCGGUUCGAGCCCGCUAGGCUCCA
RNAcentral lists this transfer RNA (73 nucleotides) under Halomonas halmophila. It matches the Rfam family "tRNA". Rfam says of the family: Transfer RNA (tRNA) molecules are approximately 80 nucleotides in length. Their secondary structure includes four short double-helical elements and three loops (D, anti-codon, and T loops). The record is from Rfam by way of RNAcentral. RNAcentral also lists the same sequence under 1 other name. Lineage: Bacteria; Pseudomonadati; Pseudomonadota; Gammaproteobacteria; Oceanospirillales; Halomonadaceae.